CGCUUGGCCCGGAGGUGGGCGCGGCGCCCUCGGGCAACGGACGGUUGCGACCCCGGCUUCGCCCCGCAGCCCCCACUUUCUGCCGAUUUCGGCAGCCUCUCUCCCACCCAUCGCCCCCCGGACAAAAUAUGAAGUGGUUGGCGGUCAGUGAGGAGUCCCGUCGCGACUUGGACGGCCACACACGUUUUGCAGGAGUUUGCAUCCGAGAGAGAGGCAGGCAGAGCGUGGGAUUGAGAAGGCUGAGGCUGCUAGAGAUGCCAGCUAUGGAAAACCAGUCAUUUCCCACCGAAAGGCACAACUUUGAUUAGUUUGUCCUUUGGAGGAGCAAUCGGACUGAUGUUUUUGAUGCUUGGAUGUGCCCUUCCAAUAUACAACAAAUACUGGCCCCUCUUUGUUCUAUUUUUUUACAUCCUUUCACCUAUUCCAUACUGCAUAGCAAGAAGAUUAGUGGAUGAUACAGAUGCUAUGAGUAACGCUUGUAAGGAACUUGCCAUCUUUCUUACAACGGGCAUUGUCGUGUCAGCUUUUGGACUCCCUAUUGUAUUUGCCAGAGCACAUCUGAUUGAGUGGGGAGCUUGUGCACUUGUUCUCACAGGAAACACAGUCAUCUUUGCAACUAUACUAGGCUUUUUCUUGGUCUUUGGAAGCAAUGACGACUUCAGCUGGCAGCAGUGGUGAAAAGAAAUUACUGAACUAUUGUCAAAUGGACUUCCUGUCAUUUGUUGGCCAUUCACGCACACAGGAGAUGGGGCAGUUAAUGCUGAAUGGUAUAGCAAGCCUCUUGGGGGUAUUUUAGGUGCUCCCUUCUCACUUUUAUUGUAAGCAUACUAUUUUCACAGAGACU
This 844-nucleotide long non-coding RNA is filed under the name Homo sapiens (human). RNAcentral describes it as "HSALNT0134901". The record is from RNAcentral. Lineage: Eukaryota; Metazoa; Chordata; Mammalia; Primates; Hominidae.